Pezoporus flaviventris is the source of this 1236-nucleotide long non-coding RNA. RefSeq lists it as uncharacterized. The transcript is spliced from 3 exons. The record is from RefSeq and is a predicted model, not a curated record. NCBI's taxonomy places the organism in Eukaryota, Metazoa, Chordata, Aves, Psittaciformes, Psittacidae.
CCCCCCUUUGGUCCCUUUUCUCACAGUUUUUUUUUCUGAAGAAAAGAAAGUGGAAAAACAGGGAAGAAAGCAGGUCAGGUCAUGUGUACACUGUUGGCUGUUUUACCAAACGCCUGAAAUUUCCUUGCACAAGAACACUGAAAUUUCCUUGCACAAGAACUCCUAACUGCUGAGGUUUCUAAAAAUGUUCAGCUCCUCUGCUGGAAUAUGGCUUCCUCUGGCGCCUUGGUCUGAGAAUAAAAAACUCUGUGCUGGCAACUGCAGGCAUGCUACUGCUCUUCAGGCAGGAAAUAAAGAAGCUGCUUCGUCAUUGCUCCCCCUGUAGACUGCUCCGAUACCCGAGUUUGUCCACAAUCAACAGAACUUUCAGAAUAUAAAACAUUGAGACAGCAUUCACAGGUUAGACUUUCCUUCAAUGAAACAUGCCAAGCAACACGGAAAUGCCCAACAGUUUUACCCCAACACGCACGUUGCACUUGUUUAUGUUCAUCCAGGCUGAGAUCAUUCUGUGCACACAGCAGCACUGCUUUCCCCCCCCCCCCCGGGAUCAGCAGGGCAGUUCCCUUUCUAGCAUGUGUUGCUUUAUGAAGUGAAAUCUAGAAGUAAUUUUUGCACUCUUACCGUAGUUCGCAUUUCUUUCACAAUACGUCCUGGCUUCCAUGCAGAACUUUUUACCAGGGAAGCUCAAGAUGUGUGGAAACAGGAGACCAGAGAAGUGACUUACUCGUGACUGCCGACAGUAUCUGAUGCGUAACCAGGUUUCUCUGAUGAGUCCCAGAGUCUUCUCUAGCUCCUUGAAGACACAGUGGACUGAUAAAGAAAAUAAGGUGGAGGAGGCUAAUGUACCAUAGAAAAGAUACAGGAAUACACAUGAUCUACAAAGACAACAACUGAAAGGGGUGGAGCUUUGCUGUGAAGGAGGCACAUAGAGAAAUCAACAGGAACAUAUAAAAUUAGAUAAUGGAGUUCAACAGGAGCAUAUAUUUGGAAAGCAUUAUUUGUCAAAAUUGCCAGUCUCUCCUACUGCAUGUACUUCAGUUUUACAGUUUUCAGUUGUGAUUCAACUAUUACCAGCAGAUCCUUAGCCACAAUUCUUCCAGCCUGUUCCAGAGAACAGCAUCCUGUGUUCAUAUCUGACAUCCCAACAGAAUUCUGUCAUGCCACUUCAGCUUCCAAAAAGUAGUGGUGGGAACUGUGAGAACAGACUAACGGUAGAAAUUAUGUAACAAGUUCACU